RNAcentral lists this ribosomal RNA (446 nucleotides) under Brachybacterium sp. EF1C-B244. Its description in RNAcentral is "bacterial SSU rRNA". It matches the Rfam family "Bacterial small subunit ribosomal RNA", at positions 1 to 449 of the family's 1533-position model. Lineage: Bacteria; Bacillati; Actinomycetota; Actinomycetes; Micrococcales; Dermabacteraceae. The record is from RNAcentral.
UUUAGAGUUUGAUCCUGGCUCAGGACGAACGCUGGCGGCGUGCUUAACACAUGCAAGUCGAACGAUGACGGUGGUGCUUGCACCGCCUGAUUAGUGGCGAACGGGUGAGUAACACGUGAGUAACCUGCCCUCCACUUCGGGAUAACCUCGGGAAAUCGUGGCUAAUACCGGAUAUGAGCACUCAUCGCAUGGUGGGUGUUGGAAAGAUUUAUCGGUGGGGGAUGGACUCGCGGCCUAUCAGUUUGUUGGUGAGGUGAUGGCUCACCAAGACGAUGACGGGUAGCCGGCCUGAGAGGGCGACCGGCCACACUGGGACUGAGACACGGCCCAGACUCCUACGGGAGGCAGCAGUGGGGAAUAUUGCACAAUGGGCGAAAGCCUGAUGCAGCGACGCCGCGUGGGGGAUGACGGCCUUCGGGUUGUAAACCCCUUUCAGUAGGGAAGAA